This is a long non-coding RNA of Seriola aureovittata, 2095 nucleotides long. RefSeq lists it as uncharacterized. NCBI's taxonomy places the organism in Eukaryota, Metazoa, Chordata, Actinopteri, Carangiformes, Carangidae. The record is from RefSeq and is a predicted model, not a curated record. The transcript has 4 exons.
CAGAGAUGAGAGCAAAUUGGGCUUUACUAUUUCUAACUGUAUGAAAAGAUCACAGUAAUGUGAAAGCCUGUGAUAUUUUUUAUUAAGGCUUGAUAACUGCACCACUCAUACAUAUUCAAGUUUCAUCAAAAGUAAAUACAAGAAAAAAGCUGUCACAGUCCUGAACUUGAUAGCCUAUAUGUCAUUCCUGAAGGGUGCAGUGGAAAACCUCCACAGCAGUGGGUGAUGCUGCCAAACAACAAAAAUCUUGCACAUUUCUAAACAAAAGACAACAUAUCACAGCAAGAGUACAUAUGGCUGUGGAUUGGCUGUACAGUAGAUAGAAUUAAAAGUAAAGUACAGGGUAUGAAAGCCAACAAUCCUAAAUAAUGGAGUAAAAGUGGAAAGAAAAAUAUAAGAAAACUUGUGUGUGUAGAAACAUGUCUAGGGAAGUGGUUUAAUAGUCUGUCUCUGCCAGCCUGCAAAGAGAUGCUGCACUGGCGACAACAAGGCUGUCUGCUUUUAUCCUGACAGAAAAAAAAAAAAAAUACAUUGACAUAUACUCAAACUACUUGAUAUGAAUUUUGUGAUGAAGCCUCAAUAAAGUAUGUGUAACACUCCUGCAUGAAGUUCCACUAUUCAGGGCUACUGUAGUGCAGAUGGACAGGGUGAAUCGUUGUGUGCUUUUGAAGAGAGAGAGAGAUCAAUGAUACAUCUACUGUGUCAAGUUGUACGAUAAAAAAUAAAUAAAAAGAGACAGCUAUAUUUCACACCAAACGAGGAUCAAUAAAGACGCCAUAGUUGCUCUAUUGUGGCUGCUGCUGAUGGAGGAUUUUGUAUUGCUACUUGCUUCUGUGAUAGAUCUUUUACUUGAAUUCAAAGGUGAACUGUGAGAUGAGAGCUUGGUGUUUAAUUUUUACGGGCUGACACCAAAGCAUGACAUUUACUGACAUUUUACCCCUGUAAAUCAUUUUAUACUGCAGUGUAUACACCGAAGAUGGAAAUAUCUUGAAUUAACUUCCCACCUUCAGAAAUGCACAGAACAGAAAUAUUAUCACCCUUUAAGCAGAUAUAGCUAGCACGUUACCAAACUGUUGCCUUAUUUAGCAACUUCAACAUAACUUGGAAUCAUUUUCCAGGCAAUUUGAUGAAUGUAAGCUCAAUAUUAACUCUCCUUUUGUCUCCACCAACUCAAGAGAGAAAUAUCUGGUUCUGUCUGGCAGGUAGUGUUCAGUUAUUUUUAGAGCUUUUUCACUGAAAACAAAAACGGCCGAUAAGGACACUGUGAGGUCAGUGGAAGUUGUGGUCCUUAAAUUAAAACAAUGGGCUGAAAGCUGCUGAAACACUCUGUUUUAACUGUGAAAUAAAAAACAGACAGAAAGACAGGCAGCAGAGCAGUCAGACAGACGCCCAGCGUUGUACUUGUUUCUGCCAACAGGGGGGGCUGGCCGCUGGCUGUAACAAGGUCAAAAUCAAAACCUUCAUAAUGGAGUUGUCCAAUCACAUUCUCUUUUUUCUUGUCGCUAGGUAAAGAAAAGGUAAGCUGGCUCACUCAUUGGUUGGGAGAUCUUAACCGAAGUACCGAAACAACUUUUCCAAAGCGCCACAGCCGGAGCUUGAAAAAACUGUUUUCAUGUUGGAUGAAGUGAAGAAGACGGAAGGAGUUGGUCGAGGGUCUGCAGUGGACUUCACAUGAACAAUAAUCACAACCUGGAAUAAUUUUUAUGGAAAACCCUCUUCAUUCUUUUGACCGCCGGACCCUUACGGACUAAAGGAUUAUAAACAAUUGAGACAAGAAGUCCGUUCGAGACAAUCGGACUUCAGGACUUGAAAAAGGAGACGAGUGGGCCACAUGAGGAGGAUGGCCAGUGACAGAUAGGAGAGGAGACUGGUUAUCAACUCUGUCAGACAGUCGAUCAGGAUGACUAACGGUGUAACAACGUCAGGUUCUACCACAUCGGGUCCUGCAGUGUUUGGAAGCAAGAGUGAAGAGUCAUUAAAGACACGACACACACCCACUGCGAGGAACACGCGCAGCCUCCGUGAACUCUAGUGACUGGUGGAAGGGCCCUUUAUCCGACAGCAGCCAGCCCAGGGAGCCGAGGGCGCUGUCGCC